RNAcentral lists this ribosomal RNA (717 nucleotides) under Triticum aestivum (bread wheat). RNAcentral describes it as "partial small subunit ribosomal RNA". Lineage: Eukaryota; Viridiplantae; Streptophyta; Magnoliopsida; Poales; Poaceae. The record is from RNAcentral.
GAGGACGACGGCACCGGCUUGCCUUUGGUGGUUCGUGACGUCAUCCAUAAGGCUGUCAUCGAGGUCAACGAGGAAGGGACGGAAGCCGCAGCUCUCACCAUGAUGAUUGCGGCUCCUGGAGCUGCUCCCAUGAGGGUAGAUUUCGUCGCUGACCAUCCUUUCGCGUAUUUCAUAGUCGAGGAGGCGUCCGGCGUGAUCAUGUUUGCAGGGCAUGUCGUCGACCCUAACAAUGGCAGCGGCCCUGCCCCUGUGCGGACUAGGAAACGGAAACAUGAGGGUGCACUUAUUAACAAGGAGCGGCUACCUGCUAGAAGAUUCGAGUUGUUGCCGGUGACCAGAAACCCGCCGGCGCAGUUCGACACAAUAGGCCUGACUGGCUCCAGUGGCCUGGCAAUGCUCGCCGCCAGGCUCACGAGGCCCCUCGCCGAGGGGAGCACGGAUGGCAAUCUAGUCUUCUCACCGCUGUCCAUCUACGCUGCUCUCGCGCUCCUUGCCGCCGGUGCCCGGGACGCCACACUGGACGAGAUACUCCGCGUCCUAGGAGCGAGGACGCGCAGCGAGCUCGAGAACUUCGUGUCGCGCUUGGCAGCCGACACGCUCCAGGAUAGGUCCACCUCAUUAGAUGUGUAUAGUCUCUUUUCGGUAUAUCCUCAAUGUAUAAGGGGUUUUUUGCAUUUUACCAUACAUGUAUAUGUAUUGGCCUUUGGCCCUCAGUAA